Molecule: ribosomal RNA, 253 nt
Filed under: uncultured bacterium
Lineage: Bacteria
Description: partial 16S ribosomal RNA
Rfam family: Bacterial small subunit ribosomal RNA
Source: RNAcentral
AACAGAGGGGGCAAGCGUUGCUCGGAAUUACUGGGCGUAAAGGGCGCGUAGGCGGAAUGGCAAGUCGGUCGUGAAAUCCUUCGGCUCAACCGAAGAACGUCGAUCGAAACUGCCGUCCUUGAGGAUUGCAGAGGAGACUGGAAUUCCCGGUGUAGCGGUGAAAUGUGUAGAGAUCGGGAGGAACACCGGUGGCGAAGGCGGGUCUCUGGGCAAUUCCUGACGCUGAGACGCGAAAGCGUGGGGAGCAAACAGG